AUACAGAGGGUGCAAGCGUUAAUCGGAUUUACUGGGCGUAAAGCGCGCGUAGGUGGCUAAUUAAGUCAAAUGUGAAAUCCCCGAGCUUAACUUGGGAAUUGCAUUCGAUACUGGUUAGCUAGAGUAUGGGAGAGGAUGGUAGAAUUCCAGGUGUAGCGGUGAAAUGCGUAGAGAUCUGGAGGAAUACCGAUGGCGAAGGCAGCCAUCUGGCCUAAUACUGACACUGAGGUGCGAAAGCAUGGGGAGCAAACAGGAUUAGAUACCCUGGUAGUCCAUGCCGUAAACGAUGUCUACUAGCCGUUGGGGCCCUUGAGGCUUUAGUGGCGCAGCUAACGCGAUAAGUAGACCGCCUGGGGAGUACGGUCGCAAGACUGAAACUCAAAGGAAUUGACGGGG
RNAcentral lists this ribosomal RNA (396 nucleotides) under uncultured bacterium. Its description in RNAcentral is "partial 16S ribosomal RNA". It matches the Rfam family "Bacterial small subunit ribosomal RNA", at positions 523 to 918 of the family's 1533-position model. The record is from RNAcentral.